RNAcentral lists this ribosomal RNA (286 nucleotides) under Bacillus sp. (in: firmicutes). RNAcentral describes it as "Bacillus sp. (in: Bacteria) partial 16S ribosomal RNA". It matches the Rfam family "Bacterial small subunit ribosomal RNA", at positions 306 to 586 of the family's 1533-position model. The record is from RNAcentral. Lineage: Bacteria; Bacillati; Bacillota; Bacilli; Caryophanales; Bacillaceae.
GGCCACACUGGGACUGAGACACGGCCCAGACUCCUACGGGAGGCAGCAGUAGGGAAUCUUCCGCAAUGGACGAAAGUCUGACGGAGCAACGCCGCGUGAGUGAUGAAGGCUUUCGGGUCGUAAAACUCUGUUGUUAGGGAAGAACAAGUACAAGAGUAACUGCUGUCCUUGACGGUACCUAACCAGAAAGCCACGGCUAACUACGUGCCAGCAGCCGCGGUAAUACGUAGGUGGCAAGCGUUAUCCGGAAUUAUUGGGCGUAAAGCGCGCGCAGGCGGUUUCUUAA